Molecule: long non-coding RNA, 2232 nt
Organism: Zootermopsis nevadensis
Lineage: Eukaryota; Metazoa; Arthropoda; Insecta; Blattodea; Termopsidae
Source: RefSeq, a predicted model, not a curated record
UUAGGAUUAAUAUUGUGAUUCGGUUGUUGAGUAAUAAACAAUUAAUUAUUUAAUUGAUUAAUUAAUUUUACUGUAGAGAAUGCUCCUUGGGCAGUCGAUUGUUACUCAGUUCGUCAAAACAUGGAACCUGAACACAAAAUUCCGAUACUGGACUCUUAAACCUAUUUAAUUUAAUAAGCUAAAUGUCUUUGCAACAUAAAAGUCCUGGUAAUAUAAGUCGCGAAACACUUAAAAGGGAAGUGAUAAAUCCGUAACUCUACCCACAGAUGAAACCAAACUUCACGACGUAAUAGUUAGAUAAAGGAAACUUGCAAUUCCUGACAUCUACGGUUCGAAUUUCGAUCAGGAGAUCGAAGAUGUCAGUUUUUAGUUGUUUUGCUAAAUCCGCGAUAAAAAGUUAUGGGACAGAAUCGAAACAUAAUAUCAGACUACCUCCUUUCAUACCAUUCACAAUCAUCCAGCAAUCUGACUGUAUAUUGCCUGUGCAGCUGACAAACCAAAGCAAGAAACAAAUACACAGCAGACAAACAAGUAGCUACAGGAGGUGAAGGAAACUUGGAAGUCGACCAACAAAGUGGAGCGGAUUACAAACGCGGAUUUCAUCAGCUCAGACUCUACAACGUCAAACAGCAGUGUGAUUAAUGAAAAAUGCUCUGGAAAAGAUGUGGAAAGAGUAGCACCAACCUAAUUUCAGACAUGACACAAUAGUUUUAAAACAUUCCUUGGACACAAAUAAUAAGGAAGACACGUAAAACACUACGUGAAGUGUUUUAAAGAAGUGCCAAGAGAUAGCUACUAUAUAAAAACAAAUGAGAACAGCCUGAAAACAAAUAUAGCGGACAGAAACGCAUACAAAGUUACAAAGACCGACCGCUCCGCUGUACAUACCGAGAAUCGCAACUCAGAACCGUCUUUCCCAUGUAACUUAAACAAACUCAAGCAACACGUAAAAAGACAAGUAAGUUCACACAGAUGAGUUCAUACAUCUAUAAACUUAACUAUCUUUAAUAUACAUUUGAAGUGGAAUUUGAUGUAAAUAUUAAACUCAUCAGGGUCACAAUAAUUUGCUCUGUCGUUUAGUUUGUUCAAACUAUCGUACAAAUAAUGAUACAAUGGCUGUGUUAACAAUAAAUUAAACUAGUUGUUAAAUUUUAUUUCUAUUUAACAGUACUUUGGUAAAGGUUAACAUGUGUAUAUAAAAUCAUAAUUUUUCAACACGUACACAGAAUUAACUCAGUAUGAAGGCCACGACACAUAGGGUCACUACAAAAAGUAUUAAUAAUCCCCAGUAUUGCAGCCGUGGUAAUAGGGUAGAAGGAAAGCGAUACACAUUUAGAGAUUCCGACAGAUUAGAAACUCUGAUUUAGGAAAUUCCUUUACUGCAAAAGGAGGACAGUGGGGUGUAAUACGGUUCUCAUGAUUUCAUGUCUUAAAUUUGCCUGCGUGUAUAGGCUUAAGGAGUUUGAUAAAUGGUAACAAUUUUAACUCCUUCGUGUUACAGAAUCCAAAAUGCAUCCCUGUCAUCCUACAGGCCCGAAAAUGGACCACACAGAAUCUAAUUGUGUUUAAAUCCUCACGAACUUGGCAUGUCGUUGCAUGUUAUUCUCCUAACCGCUCUCGUAUCAAAUCAUUUCUUACUAGGAAGUCUUGUUUAAAGAAUAACGCAAAUAUUAUUACAAUACUAACUUUCAGUAAAUCGCCAGUACUAGCUCUGAGGAUGGUAACGCAGAUAAUUUCCGAAACGUCGGGAAAGAAGUAGUUGAAAGCGUGCAGACUGAGUUCGUCUAGCUCUAGUUCUUGUCCUAGAAGCUAACAGGCGAGACAUUUCCUGACUAGCUGGAACCAUCAGAUUCUCUAGAGGGAUUUUCCCCAUGGAGUUUCCUGGAGUAUAAGGACUGGAGACUUUUCUGGUCUGGUGGAAACGUUUAUCAACGUUUCAGAUGUGAUUGAUCUAAUGAAAUAAAUAUAUGUUUAUGAGUCCAGUACAAACCGAUCGACAACUCUACUUACUACAUCUACACUUAAUAUUACGCUCGCCAUUGCAAAGUAUGCGCCUGCAAACCUAAAUUUAAACCCUCAGAACAUCAAAUCAGGAUGCAGAAUAUAUGAACCUGUCCUUGAACAUGAUUCAUGUGAUGCAGCAUACUCCGAAGAAAAUCAGAUUUUGCCACACGCAUUUAUGAUCAGCAAAGCAAACACCCUUCUGUAAGAGCAUUAGGAGAAGUCUUUUAA